CAAUAGCGUACAUUUAAGUUGCUGCAGUUAAAAAGCUCGUAGUUGGAUUUCGGGUGGGAAUGGCCGGUCCGCCGUUUCGGUGUGCACUUGCUACGCCCACCUUGCUGCCGGGGACGUGCUCUUGAGUUCACGCUCGGGACACGGAGUCGGCGAGGUUACUUUGAGUAAAUUAGAGUGUUCAAAGCAGGCCUACGCUCUGAAUACAUUAGCAUGGAAUAACACGAUAGGACUCUGGCCUAUCUUGUUGGUCUGUAGGACCGGAGUAAUGAUUAAGAGGGACAGUCGGGGGCAUUCGUAUUUCAUUGUCAGAGGUGAAAUUCUUGGAUUUAUGAAAGACGAACUACUGCGAAAGCAUUUGCCAAGGAUGUUUUCAUUAA
Molecule: ribosomal RNA, 377 nt
Filed under: uncultured eukaryote
Lineage: Eukaryota
Description: partial 18S ribosomal RNA
Rfam family: Eukaryotic small subunit ribosomal RNA
Source: RNAcentral